AUGCCUAAUGGUUGCUACUCGGCUAGCUCCGCUUACAAGGCCCAAUUCCUGGCCUCUUUACCAUGCUCCUUCGGGCAAAUUGUCUGGAAAACUAGGGCUCCCCCCAAAUGUCGAUUCUUCGCCUGGCUUGCCGUCCAGAAUCGCCUCUGGACCGCUGACCGUCUUGCGAAACGCGGGUGGCCACACCAACCUACUUGUCAGCUAUGUAGAUGCGCCCCUGAGACGGCGCGACAUAUCCUUUUUGAAUGUCGCUUUUCUAGGAGGAUCUGGACGGCUGUAGCUUCCUGGCUCUCUUGCCCGGACCUUCUCCUUUGCUUAGGGUCUGGACGCCCUAAGGUGGUGGAUUACUGGCUCGCCAUCGCCAAGACUCCAACCUCUUCUCCCAAAGGUUUACGGACUGCCAUCAUGCUUGUCGCUUGGGAGAUUUGGAAGGAAAGGAAUGAGAGAGUCUUCAACAAUAAAUCUUCCUUGCCAUUGGUCAUCAUGCACAAGAUCAGAGAGGAAGGAAAGGAUUGGAUUUUAGCCGGUGCUAAGAACCUGGCGGAGCUUGUGGGCUGA
RNAcentral lists this ribosomal RNA (558 nucleotides) under Triticum aestivum (bread wheat). RNAcentral's name for it is "partial small subunit ribosomal RNA". Lineage: Eukaryota; Viridiplantae; Streptophyta; Magnoliopsida; Poales; Poaceae. The record is from RNAcentral.